Long non-coding RNA from Saimiri boliviensis boliviensis (Bolivian squirrel monkey), 181 nucleotides. RefSeq lists it as uncharacterized. The record is from RefSeq and is a predicted model, not a curated record. NCBI's taxonomy places the organism in Eukaryota, Metazoa, Chordata, Mammalia, Primates, Cebidae.
GGGCAACCGACCUCGCGGGGUUUCCCUUUUUAGUACGCUCGAAGGAGGUAACUUCAACAGUGGAGGCUGCUUCUGGCUCCUCAGCAUCGUUGAUGGUAACCAGUCCUACAAUUCUCAUUAGACCUGAGGGCACGUGACCCAGGAAUGUGCAUCCAAAGAUAAUACUACCUUCAGAGAACUC